GUUCGAAUGGACUUUUAGACGAGUUAGUUAUCUGCAUGUAUUGGGCCGCAAGCUUAAAAAAAAUCUGGCCCUUUAGGUCUACCAUGUCUCAGAGAGACGAAUCUCCGUCAGUAUUGAUUCAUCUCCCCCACAGGCGUUACAAACUUCAUUGAUUCAAUGCCAUUAGCAAGUUCUUAACUCUUUAGUGAUCAAUCACUCAUUCAAUGAUUCUUAUCCAUCUUCCAAACGGUGUAUCUCCACCUAUAAAACAGUCCAGCGGCUCAGAUUUUGGGAAGCCAGAACCGUUAAAAGCUGUGGCGAGUUGAUCGGUGUCGACAUACUCUUUGUAACUAUGCCGUAUAAUCUCACCACCACUGAAAAGGCGGUGCAGCUCAUAAAAAACACUAAAGAGGCAGAUGGUUAAUGGUAUGGAAGUUGGGGAGGUUGCUACACAUAUUCAUCAUGGUUUGCUCUUGGAAGCUUGGCAGUAACUGGCAAACGUAUGAAAACUGUUUGGCUAUGCACACAGAUUGACUUCUUUCUCGAGAAGCAAAACAGCAAUAGAGGGAUACAUAGAAUUAGAAGGAGGAAGGUCGAACCUGGUGCAAACCGCUUAGGCAUUGAUAGGUCUGAUUCAAACAUGACAGGUUUGCCAUACUUAUGUAACAUAUCUCAUUUCUCUUAAAAAGGUUUGUUGUGUUUAAUUAAUAUAUUUUUAACAGGCCGAGAGAAACUCAUUGCCUCCUUCACAGCGUAGUCACUACCCUCACUUAGAUUAUCAUAAAAACAUAUGUUUUUGGUGCUGGUGAUGUGCAGGAAAUGACGGGAGUUUUCAUGAACAAUUGUUUUCUAAACUAUGUCACUUACAGGGAAAACAACAAAUGCACUUUUGAAGAAAUAACUCAGGGAAAGCAAGGAAUCGUAUUUGCAGAAACUAAUAAGAAUUUUGUUCCAAGAACUUCCUUUUUCCAAUUAUUACUGUCACACAGACAAGUGGUUACAGUUAGUCAAACAAUAACAAUCUACUUUGGUUAUGCCGUUUCCAAAUAUUGGGUUUCAUAAUAAAAUAGCAUUUAAUUGCA
Long non-coding RNA from Raphanus sativus (radish), 1061 nucleotides. RefSeq lists it as uncharacterized. NCBI's taxonomy places the organism in Eukaryota, Viridiplantae, Streptophyta, Magnoliopsida, Brassicales, Brassicaceae. The record is from RefSeq and is a predicted model, not a curated record. The transcript is spliced from 5 exons.